AGCGAACGCUGGCGGCAGGCCUAACACAUGCAAGUCGAACGAACUCUUCGGAGUUAGUGGCGGACGGGUGAGUAACACGUGGGAAUGUGCCUUUAGGUUCGGAAUAACUCAGGGAAACUUGUGCUAAUACCGAAUGUGCCCUUCGGGGGAAAGAUUUAUCGCCUUUAGAGCGGCCCGCGUCUGAUUAGCUAGUUGGUGAGGUAAAGGCUCACCAAGGCGACGAUCAGUAGCUGGUCUGAGAGGAUGAUCAGCCACAUUGGGACUGAGACACGGCCCAAACUCCUACGGGAGGCAGCAGUGGGGAAUCUUGCGCAAUGGGCGAAAGCCUGACGCAGCCAUGCCGCGUGAAUGAUGAAGGUCUUAGGAUUGUAAAAUUCUUUCACCGGGGACGAUAAUGACGGUACCCGGAGAAGAAGCCCCGGCUAACUUCGUG
Molecule: ribosomal RNA, 433 nt
Filed under: uncultured bacterium
Lineage: Bacteria
Description: partial 16S ribosomal RNA
Rfam family: Bacterial small subunit ribosomal RNA
Source: RNAcentral